UCAUCUCCCACUGUGACGGUUUCUUCAGUGAGAAUUCCCUGCUGUCCCUUCCUCCCAUCCCUGAAGCUUCCAGCCUGCGUUACAGAGGCCUAGGUGUUAGAGUCUAUGCAAAUUUGUGCAAUCAACACUGAAGUCAACUCUGAGAUACUUUAGGUAGCUCAAAGAACACCAGCAUCCCUUACGAUUACCGUCCAAUCUCCCCAGCUGCUGACAACUACUAAUCUACUUUCUUUCUGGUUUUUCCUGUUCUAGACAUUACGGAUUAUGUCAUAUUUCAUGAACUCGAGGACAUCCUGUCUACUGGAGUGUCUUGGUCAUUUUCUGUCAUCUCCACGAAUCCAUUGCUGCAUGGAGACCUGCAUUCUAGGUCUUCAUGAAUCAUCUAUGUAUUCUGUGAGGACAACACAACAAACUGAAUUUCCAUAAAGCAACUCUACAACCGAAUGCCUUCCAAACCCAAACUGACCUCAACUCACCCCUUCUACCUAGAGCGCAAUCUGAAGUGUCAUCUACCAUUUCAUGUUCUCUGAUUGAUGAACAUUUCGACAAUAUACCCGAAGAAGAUAGGUGAAGUACAGCAAUACAUCUUUUUGUUUUAUAAAUAUAUGAUUUAUAAGCCAUCUUUUCCCCCAUGUGAACGUGGAGAAUGGCUAAAACAAACUUUUAUUCUAUGUUAGCAUGCACUAGUUAGACAUUUCCCUUUCCUGUUCUUUCUGAAAGACGGGCAAAGUCCCGAAGUGUCUGUGCACACACACUUCAUUUGCUCUAGCAUUAGCCUAGGUCCCAGGUUAAGUGUAGUAAAUUGCUUCCCCAAGGUAGAGCCUGGCUUUUAGAACAGGAAGUCAAUAUUGCUCAGCUGGUGAUUCAUAUGCAAACGAACCCUCAUGGAACAUUUUAGUUCGAAAAAAUAAAUAAUUAGCAGACUGGAAUGCAUCUAGGAUCCUAGAAUCACUUACCAUAUCCAUGCUUUAAAAAAAAAAAAAAAAAAAGGCAAGCGAGUUUUAUUGACAUCAAGAGUAGCCAAGCUUUUGGUUUCACUUCCCUGAUACUUUGGAGCCCUCCAUGGGCACUGGGGAUGUGACUUACAGCACAUACCUGGGCACUUGGUCAUUCUGUGUCCACUCUAUCAGUAUUUGUGCCAAUGUACAGAUAAGUACCAGCAGAAAUUCCUGGUGAGUCCUCUCUAAGUUCUGACAGAUCCUUGUUUUUCUUGUUUGAAAGAGGAGAUAAGAAUACAGGGAGGGCUGGCCACUGAUAAGACAGAAGUCCGGAGGAAGGGUGCAAACCCAAAAUUUGAAAUAUUAUAGUAAGUUAAAAAAUAUCUGUUAUUACUCAACAGGUUAUCAUCCUCAUCAACAUGCGGGGUUCCGAAUGCUUCCAGUAAUCUCUAACUGUGGAAUGUGGGAAUGGGAACAUCAUGUCUUGGUGGUGCCUUGGCUUCACAAUUUUACCUUUUUCACAAGUCGCCUUUAAAAUCCAUUUCUUUUCCUGUUAGAUUUAUUUUCCAAUACAGCAAUACAGCAAUUUCCCCAAAUGAAUCACCAUGUAGGGAUCAGCAACUUAACACAGUCAUGCCCUGCUUUAAAAGACACCAGGGACAGGAAGCACUCUUAAAAUGCAGAGGGGCAUGGUUAACCUCAGCUACCCCACAUGUGGCUGACACUUACUCACAUCCUGAGUCAGUACCAUCCACAGGUGAAGGAUACCUGCACUGGUGGCCAGAGCUCCAACUUGAACUGUGUCCUUUUGCUUUUGGUUUAUGAAAGCUUAUGCUGUGACAUUUUUAAGUCUUUUCUGGGAUGGGCUUGGGAGCAGACAUGUGAUGGUUUAAGGGGUUAGUAGGGAGAUUCGGAAAAGGUAGGAGGCACUAAUGGCUCAUUUGCUUCUUUUAAAAAACACCCCCAGGGUGUGCCCGAUGAACUCAGAGAAUAUUACGAAAUUCUGGUAAGAAAUUAAUUUUAAGUUUCUCUUAAAAAAUGCACAGUGCCAUUUUGUAUGCAAUGGACAGGAGGGAGAAUUCAAAUAAGUCAGGAAGCAGCAGCUUGCUGAGUCUGGAAGAGAAUAGAGCCAAGAGCUACGGAAAAGAAUCAAGUGAAAAAUUAGUACAGUUUCAGUUCAACCUUUU
Long non-coding RNA from Peromyscus leucopus (white-footed mouse), 2125 nucleotides. RefSeq lists it as uncharacterized. The transcript has 3 exons. Lineage: Eukaryota; Metazoa; Chordata; Mammalia; Rodentia; Cricetidae. The record is from RefSeq and is a predicted model, not a curated record.